RNAcentral lists this ribosomal RNA (485 nucleotides) under Zygosaccharomyces rouxii. RNAcentral describes it as "eukaryotic LSU rRNA". It matches the Rfam family "Eukaryotic large subunit ribosomal RNA", at positions 99 to 584 of the family's 3401-position model. Lineage: Eukaryota; Fungi; Ascomycota; Saccharomycetes; Saccharomycetales; Saccharomycetaceae. The record is from RNAcentral.
CGGCAAAAGCUCAAAUUUGAAAUCUGGUACCUUUCGGUGCCCGAGUUGUAAUUUGGAGAGAGUGAUUCUGGGACUGGCCCUUGCCUAUGUUCCUUGGAACAGGACGUCAUAGAGGGUGAGAACCCCGUGAGGCGAGGUGAUCCAGUUCUUUGUAGAGCGCUCUCGAAGAGUCGAGUUGUUUGGGAAUGCAGCUCUAAGAGGGUGGUAAAUUCCAUCUAAAGCUAAAUACAGGCGAGAGACCGAUAGCGAACAAGUACAGUGAUGGAAAGAUGAAAAGAACUUUGAAAAGAGAGUGAAAAAGGACGUGAAAUUGUUGAAAGGGAAGGGCAUUUGAUCAGACAUGGUGUUUUGUGCCCCUCGCUCCUCGUGGGUGGGGGAAUCUCGCAGCUCACUGGGCCAGCAUCAGUUUUGGCGGCAGGAGAAAUCCUCGGGAAUGUGGCUCUUGCCUCUGGUAGGAGUGUUAUAGCCCGGGGGAAUACUGCCAG